Long non-coding RNA from Salvia hispanica, 747 nucleotides. RefSeq lists it as uncharacterized. The record is from RefSeq and is a predicted model, not a curated record. NCBI's taxonomy places the organism in Eukaryota, Viridiplantae, Streptophyta, Magnoliopsida, Lamiales, Lamiaceae.
AAUAAUUUAUUCGAAAAUAAGAAUAAAUUAUUUUGGUGAAAGCCAAAGGUCAACUUUUCUGAUUCAUUUCUGAAAAGUAAAGACUAAAGAAUAAAGACGGAGCCAGAAAAUACAUUUUCGACAGAUCUAAAUAUCUAAUGGAACUCGGAGAGUAAUCCAAGUGGUCCAGGAGGGGGAGGAGACACCGGCGCCGGCGGUGGAAGAUAGAGGAGAGAGGAGAAAGCUGUUGCGGUGGAGGAGAGGGAGAAUGAUAUAUGAGGGUGGAAGAUCGACUGAGGAAUCUGAAAUUGGUGCUCUGCUUUCUGAUCCACCAGGAGUUUUUGGCGGCUGUAGUAAGACCCGCAAGCUCUGGCCGGAGAAGCAUGUACGAUAUGAUCCCGCCCAAUUCAUGGGAUGGGAAAGGAAUGUCUGUCAGCAAGGGCAAUUGGUAGUAAGAGUUGCAAGUAGGAAUUUGUUUUUACAGUAGUGGUUUGAUAAGGGCUUAACAUGAUUUUUUUAAAAUUCUAGAAAUUUAGAAAUAGAAAAUACUCUCAACGUCCUAUAAAGUUUAUCUCAUUUUUCGUCCCACAAAAUUUGUCCCAUUUGGAAAUUUUGUGAGAUGGAGUGAGUAAUUAAAAAAACCAUGUAUGUCCGCCCAUGUCUGUCGGUUGUCGUGAUAGAAUGAUGCCACAUAUUUCACCUGACCUCCUUGUAUAUUUUUUCUGUUGUGAUUGAAUGAUGCCACAUAAUUCACUUGACCUUAUUGUA